GACAAGACUGGAAAUAACCUAAAUUUACAAGCACUUGAUCCACUGAAGGAAAAAGCUGUAAUUGAUAAUGUAUUGAUUGAAAUAGCAAACGAUGAAGAAAUACCAUAUAAGAAUUCACGUUUAGAUGUUGAACAGACAAAAGAAGAAGUUUUGCUUGACCUUCACGAAUUGGAUUUAUCAGCAAAUAUUACGUAAACAAACACAGGAAGACUAAUUAUUUUGAAAUAUAGGGACCAAGUGCUAGAUGAUCAGGUGAGAAAAAAGUUGGUGGAAAUUUUAAUCUGGAAACUUAUGGAAAUUCCAGUAGCUGUUAAAUAUCUCGAUGAAAAUCAAACGCAGAAAGUGAAAGUAAUUAGGCCAACGCUAAAAGAUCAUCAUUUUGACAUUCUCUCCAAAAAAAAAGGUUGAGCUUUUUCCCAAGGAAAGUAAGGAAACGUAUUAUGUAUCUCCAAAAGUGGAAGGAUCGGAUCAAAAGUUUGCCAGAGGAAAACUUGUAGAUAAAUAUCGGAAUUGGCUAUCAUCACUUUCAAAUCUGGGACUUUUGACUAGGAAGCCAAAAAAGAACGAUGAAGAACCAGAAGAGGGAAAAGAGAGUAAGAUC
Molecule: long non-coding RNA, 601 nt
Organism: Belonocnema kinseyi
Lineage: Eukaryota; Metazoa; Arthropoda; Insecta; Hymenoptera; Cynipidae
Exons: 3
Source: RefSeq, a predicted model, not a curated record